AAUGGAAGAAUUGCAUAGCCUGGACCCACGACGGCAGGAAUUAUUAGAGGCCAGGUUUACUGGAGUAGGUGUUAGUAAGGAAAACUAGAAAAGAGGAGGAAAAAACAGUAAAUAUGCAAGAAGAAAUAAAUACAUUGCAAAACAGAAGAAUGGGAAAUAAUCAAGAGUUGGAAAAUUAGGAAACAAAAGGCAAAAUGAAGGAGAGUACAUCAGAUAUAACAAAAGG
RNAcentral lists this long non-coding RNA (226 nucleotides) under Homo sapiens (human). RNAcentral describes it as "LHRI_LNC1332.3". Lineage: Eukaryota; Metazoa; Chordata; Mammalia; Primates; Hominidae. The record is from RNAcentral.